RNAcentral lists this ribosomal RNA (237 nucleotides) under uncultured Glomus. RNAcentral describes it as "partial 18S ribosomal RNA". It matches the Rfam family "Eukaryotic small subunit ribosomal RNA", at positions 667 to 886 of the family's 1831-position model. RNAcentral also lists the same sequence under 1 other name. Lineage: Eukaryota; Fungi; Glomeromycota; Glomeromycetes; Glomerales; Glomeraceae. The record is from RNAcentral.
GAUCAAUAUUUCGGUCAUGCCGUUAGUAUGCACUGUUAUCAUUGAUUUCUCACCUUCUAAAGAACCGUAAUGCCAUUAAUUUGGUGUUACGGGGAAUUAGGACUGUUACCUUGAAAAAUUAGAGUGUUUAAAGCAGGCUCACGCUUGGAUACAUUAGCAUGGAAUAAUGAAAUAGGACAUCCGAUUCUAUUUUGUUGGUUUCUAGGAUCGAUGUAAUGAUUAAUAGGGAUAGUUGGG